CCCUUAGAUGUUCUGGGCCGCACGCGCGCUACACUGAUGCAUUCAACGAGCCUAUCCUUGACCGACAGGUCCGGGUAAUCUUUGAAUCUGCAUCGUGACGGGGAUAGAUUAUUGCAAUUAUUAAUCUUCAACGAGGAAUGCCUAGUAGGCGCAAGUCAUCAGCUUGCGUCGAUUACGUCCCUGCCCUUUGUACACACCGCCCGUCGCUCCUACCGAUCGAAGAGUUAGGUGAAUUGUUUUGAUCGAUAAGAUUUGACUAUGGUCAACUCUCGUUGUGAAAUUCUGUGAAUCUGACUGUUAGAGGAAGGAGAAGUCGUAACA
RNAcentral lists this ribosomal RNA (321 nucleotides) under uncultured eukaryote. RNAcentral's name for it is "partial 18S ribosomal RNA". It matches the Rfam family "Eukaryotic small subunit ribosomal RNA", at positions 1470 to 1796 of the family's 1831-position model. The record is from RNAcentral.